Non-coding RNA from Paramuricea clavata, 237 nucleotides. The record is from the annotation of a GenBank genome assembly. NCBI's taxonomy places the organism in Eukaryota, Metazoa, Cnidaria, Anthozoa, Malacalcyonacea, Plexauridae.
CUUCGGGCGUCGUGUUUCCACACAAUUUCUCGUUUUCCCAAUUUCCACUCGUGUUGAUAUAACUGUAUAUCAACACGGAAAAUGUUUUAUUUGUUAAAUAUAACGAAAAUAAUUUACAUUUAUUUUCUCACUCUGAUAACUGCAGGUUGAUCACCAUCUGCUGCACGAUAUAUAGUGCUUAGUCUUAAACCAGCUACAUUGUACAGUAUAAAGUAUAGAGUAUUGUUCGGAUUACUG